Molecule: ribosomal RNA, 253 nt
Filed under: uncultured bacterium
Lineage: Bacteria
Description: partial 16S ribosomal RNA
Rfam family: Bacterial small subunit ribosomal RNA
Source: RNAcentral
UACGUAGGGGCCAAGCGUUGUCCGGAAUUAUUGGGCGUAAAGAGCUCGUAGGCGGUUUGUUGCGUCGGCUGUGAAAUCCCGAGGCUCAACCUCGGGUCUGCAGUCGAUACGAGCAAACUAGAGUGUUGCAGGGGAGACUGGAAUUCCUGGUGUAGCGGUGAAAUGCGCAGAUAUCAGGAGGAACACCGGUGGCGAAGGCGGGUCUCUGGGCAACAACUGACGCUGAGGAGCGAAAGCGUGGGGAGCGAACAGG